CCGACACGCCGCCCGUUCCGUCCCCGCUGGGCCGCAGCAGCAGGUUUCCGCACUCGGGGUAGCGCUCCAGGAGCAGCUGCGCCUCCAGCCGGCUCACCUUCAGGAAGCAGCUGGGGCGGACGCGUCCCUCACUCCGCGCAGGCCCCGCCCCUGGGGCGCGGCCACACCCUCCCGCGGAGCCCCGCCCCCGGCACGUGGACCUCGUCCCGGAAGACGGGAUUCCCCGCAGACCCCGCCGGCCGCCCCUCGGGCCCCGCGCCUCCGCCCGCCGCCGUCCCGGGGCUGCGCGGCCCGGCGGGGCACUCACGAGGGCACCUCGAGCGCGCGGCGCGCCUCCUCUUUGGCCAGGGCCUCGGCCAUCAUGUACAGGUGUCCGGGCAGCAGGGUCAGGUUGGACGGGAUGCGGAGCUGAGGGGCGAUGAGGCACCCGAGGGCGCCUGGACGUCAGGGCACGGGCGGCUGGUGCCCGCGUCACCGAGGGGACACCCUGAGGUCGGGGUGCGGGCCCAGGCAGCCAGGAUGGGAACCCGGGCCUGGGGGCUCCAGAGCGACCCUGCGCCUCCUCAGGGCAGGGGUGAAGAGACUUCAGGGAGGCGAAGGACAGAUCAGAUGCUCGAAUGUAGGCUCUCAAAACUCUACAGGCUGCGGGGCCAGACAGGGGACAAAGGACUAAAGCAGAGAUCAGGAAUGUUGACAAAAACUCCUGGCUCCUAAAUAAUGGCAGAUCACUUUCCCAGUUUUAACACUGUUGGCAAAAACAGAAGCCGUUGCGGGCUGCGGGCUGCGUUGGGCUCAGAGGCCGCCAGCGUGAGACCCGUGUAGGAGACUCUGGGGGCCUGGUUGAGGACUGUGGCGUCGAAGGACAAAAGAGGGUCCCCGAGGAGGCACCCAGUCUUACCUCUACCACCGUCAGGAUGAAGCCUUUCCACAUCUCCCGAGACUCCAGGCUCUCUACCUGCGGAGGGACAGAAAAAGAGCCCAUGGCGAUGAGCCUCGGUCAAUUCAUCUGUGAAAUGGGAACGAGGAAUAAUAGCCACUGUUUUCCAAGGGUUCUUUUGAAGAUUAAACGAGUUGGGACCCGGGUUACUUUAGGAUGUCUGGACAUCAUAAGUCCUCAGGAAAGUGGGAUAGAAUUCUUUAAUGUUACUGCGUCAAGUUUGAAAACAAUACAAAUCAGAUCCUGUAUCUCCAAUGCUCUAAACCCUCCCCGGGCUCCCGUCUGCUUUGGGGUAAAAGCCCAAGUCCUCCCUAGGGCCCACAAAGCCCUGCACCCCACGCCCUGUCCCCUCCCUGCCCUCCUCCCUCCGUCUCUCCCCCUCCCUCCCGCUGCCCAGCAGCCUUCCGCUCCUCCCCCCUCCCCCCUCCUCUUCUUCCUCCCGGCUCUUCAGACUCACAAGAGCCUUUGCACAGGUAUCUACGAGCCGGUUCCCUCACCUGCGGGUCUCGGUGAGGCUUUCCCCGGUCGCCCUGUCUAACAUGGUAACCCUGAGCGCGCUGCGUCCAUUCCCUAGCGCUUUUUCCAAGCGUCUCCUGCCGCCUGCCCCUCCAGAUACGUUUUACGCACUUGUAUUGUGUACUGUGUGCCUCGCCCGCUCGACUGCAAACUCCACAACGGGGAGGAGUUUUAAGUGUCCUGUUCACUGCAACCGGCAGAAUGUCUGGCACACGGGAGGCGCUCGAUAACCUUAGCUGCAAGGCGAAGAACCCAAGGCCUAGAGAAGUCAAGUGACUCGGCCAGUGUCACCAACCCAGCGGUAGCCUCCGUGCGACUCCAUGCUAGUGUGUGUUAGUGGUAAGUGUGACAAGGAGGGAGGGGCCUACCUUGAACCUGAUCUCCUGGUUCCGGAGGACCAGGCUGAAAUGGAUGCCUGGGUCUCGGGAGCUUCCCCAGGGUGGGUCAUCUGUGAGCUUCACAAGUGCCGUUAGGUCUAACUUCUCCACGUGCUGCGGAUCCGGAAGCAGGGGUCUGAGCACCAGGCUUGUGGCUCCCCAGGCCCUCUGGCUUGGCCGAAACACCCGCCCUCUAUGCUUGGUCCCUGAGGUUAAAGGAGGGGGGUGGGGAGGGGGGGGCGACCAGCUCAUUCCCCUCCUUACCUGGGAGUCCCGAUUGCUAUUAUAGAAAUAGAGAGUGCAACCCUUGAGGCCUGCCCAGAAUUUCUUGUAAUCCUGGGGACCAAAGGUAGAGAAAGAGAAGGAGGUGAGAAGGGAAAUCCGGGUACCUCCAUGGCACCCACUCCUGCCUCAGGACCUUGGCACUGGCCGUUUCCUCUGCCUGGAGACUCUUUCCCCAGAUCAUCAGUUUCCUUCAUCACCUGCUUUGGGUCUUUGAACGAACGUCGCCUUCUCUGGGAGGCCCUCCCCAUCCAUGGCCCAACUUCUGGGGAUCUGUUGUUCUUUGAGAAAGGACCAAAGAAUCCUCCUUGAUGGAAUGGGGAAUGCAGAGCAGCGCCCCGCCUCCGCCCCGCCCCUGGCCAGUGUACAGAGCAAAUAUUCCCUGAACAUCUACUCUGCACCCAGUUCUGUUGCAGAGGCAAAAUACGACCUGGGACAUGGCUUCUGUUUCUAAAUAGGUUGUCUUCCAGAAGAAUAUAGAAAGCAUAGAUACUCGGGUGCCUGGGGGGGCUCAGUCGGUUGAGCGUCCAACCUCAGCUCAGGUCACGAUCUCACAGUUCGUGGGUUCGAGCCCCGCGUCGGGCUCUGCGCUGACAGCUCCUCGGAGCCUGGAGCCUGCUU
Molecule: long non-coding RNA, 2733 nt
Organism: Prionailurus viverrinus (fishing cat)
Lineage: Eukaryota; Metazoa; Chordata; Mammalia; Carnivora; Felidae
Exons: 3
Source: RefSeq, a predicted model, not a curated record